AUGGCCGUGCUGUCACACCACGAGGACGGCGCGGUGGUUGCACAGACGCUGCUUCUGCUGCUGACGGUGUCGUCGUCGUUGCUGGGGGCGGUGGUGCCGGCCCUCGCCGCCGACCCACCCUUCUCCUGCGGGCCGUCGUCCACCGCCGCGACGCAGGGGUACGCCUUCUGCGACGCGACGCUCCCGGUGGCGCAGCGGGCGGCGGACCUGGUGGCGCGGCUGACGCCGGCGGAGAAGGUGGCGCAGCUGGGCGACGAGGCCGCGGGCGUCCCGCGGCUGGGCGUGCCGGCCUACAAGUGGUGGAACGAGGCGCUGCACGGGCUGGCCACCUCCGGCAAGGGCCUCCACUUCAACGGCGCCGUCCGCAGCGCCACCAGCUUCCCGCAGGUCAGCUUCACCGCCGCCGCCUUCGACGACGACCUCUGGUACCGCAUCGGCCAGGCGAUCGGCAGGGAGGCUCGGGCGCUGUACAACCUGGGGCAGGCGGAGGGCCUGACGAUGUGGUCCCCGAACGUGAACAUCUACCGGGACCCGCGGUGGGGCCGCGGGCAGGAGACCCCGGGGGAGGACCCGACGACGGCGAGCCGCUACGGCGUGGCGUUCGUCAAGGGCCUGCAGGGGAACUCGUCGGCGUCGCUGCUGCAGACGUCGGCCUGCUGCAAGCACGCCACGGCGUACGACCUGGAGGACUGGAACGGCGUGGCCCGCUACAACUUCGACGCCAGGGUGACGGCGCAGGACCUGGAGGACACGUACAACCCGCCGUUCCGGAGCUGCGUGGUGGACGGCAAGGCCAGCUGCGUCAUGUGCGCCUACACCGGCAUCAACGGCGUCCCCGCCUGCGCCAACUCCGACCUCCUCACCAAGACCGUCAGAGGAGACUGGGGCCUCGACGGGUACGUCGCCUCCGACUGCGACGCCGUGGCCAUCAUGCGUGACGCGCAGCGGUACGCGCCCACGCCCGAGGACGCGGUUGCACUCGCGCUCAAGGCCGGACUGGACAUCGACUGCGGGACCUACAUGCAGCAGCACGCGGCGGCCGCUGUGCAGCAGGGCAAGAUCACGGAGGACGACAUCGACAAGGCGCUCAACAACCUCUUCGCCGUCCGGAUGCGCCUGGGCCACUUCGACGGCGACCCCAGGGCCAACAUCUACGGCGGCCUCAACGCCGCCGACAUCUGCACCCCGGAGCACAGGAGCCUCGCCCUCGACGCCGCGCAGGACGGCAUCGUCCUCCUCAAGAACGACGCUGGCAUCCUCCCGCUCGACCGGGCCGCCGUCGCCUCCGCCGCCGUCAUCGGGCCCAACGCCAACAACCCCGGCCUGCUCAUCGGCAACUACUUCGGCCCGCCCUGCGAGUCCGUCACGCCGCUCAAGGGGGUCCAGGGCUACGUCAAGGACGCCAGGUUCCUCGCAGGGUGCCGCUCGGCGGCCUGCGACGUGGCCGACACGGACGAGGCGGCCUCCCUGGCGGCCUCGUCGGACUACGUGCUCCUCCUCAUGGGACUGAGCCAGCAGCAGGAGAGCGAAGGGCGCGACAGGACCAGCCUCCUGCUCCCCGGGCAGCAGCAGAGCCUCAUCACCGCCGUCGCCGACGCCGCCAAGAGGCCCGUCAUCCUGGUGCUCCUCACGGGCGGGCCGGUGGACGUGACCUUCGCCAAGACCAACCCCAAGAUCGGCGCCAUCCUCUGGGCCGGUUACCCCGGCCAGGCCGGCGGGCUCGCCAUCGCCAGGGUGCUCUUCGGCGACCACAACCCCGGCGGGAGGCUGCCGGUGACCUGGUACCCGGAAGAGUUCACCAAGGUGCCCAUGACCGACAUGCGGAUGCGCGCCGACCCGGCCACCGGCUACCCCGGCCGGAGCUACCGCUUCUACCAGGGAGAGACUGUCUACAAGUUUGGCUACGGCCUCAGCUACUCCAGCUACUCUCGCCGGCUGGUCUCAUCCGGCACCCCCAACACGGACUUGCUCGCAGGCCUGAGCACAAUGCCAUUGCCAGCGGCGGAACAAGGCGUCGCGAGCUACCACGUCGAACAUAUUGGUCCCCAACGGUGCGAGCAGCUCAGGUUCCCAGCCGUGGUCGAGGUGGAAAACCACGGCCCCAUGGACGGCAAGCACUCGGUGCUCGUGUACCUCCGGUGGGCCAACGCAACCGCCGGCCGGCCGGCGAAGCAGCUCAUCGGGUUCAGGAGACAGCACCUCAAGGCAGGGGAGAAGGCCAGACUCACAUUUGAUAUCAGCCCGUGUGAACAUUUUAGCAGGGUGAGGAAGGAUGGCAGCAAGGUGGUAGACAGAGGAUCUCAUUUCCUCAUGGUUGACAAGCAUGAGAUGGAGAUUACGUUCGAGGUUUGA
Molecule: ribosomal RNA, 2352 nt
Filed under: Triticum aestivum (bread wheat)
Lineage: Eukaryota; Viridiplantae; Streptophyta; Magnoliopsida; Poales; Poaceae
Description: partial small subunit ribosomal RNA
Source: RNAcentral